UACGUAGGGACCAAGCGUUGUUCGGAUUUACUGGGCGUAAAGGGCGCGUAGGCGGCUUGACAAGUCACUUGUGAAAUCUCCGGGCUUAACUCGGAACGGCCAAGUGAAACUGUCAUGCUAGAGUGCAGAAGGGGCAAUCGGAAUUCUUGGUGUAGCGGUGAAAUGCGUAGAUAUCGGGAGGAACACCAGUGGCGAAGGCGGCUUUCUGGCCCGUUCUUGACGCUGAGGCGCGAAAGCUAGGGUAGCAAACGGG
RNAcentral lists this ribosomal RNA (253 nucleotides) under uncultured bacterium. Its description in RNAcentral is "partial 16S ribosomal RNA". It matches the Rfam family "Bacterial small subunit ribosomal RNA", at positions 524 to 776 of the family's 1533-position model. The record is from RNAcentral.